RNAcentral lists this small RNA (24 nucleotides) under Arabidopsis thaliana (thale cress). RNAcentral describes it as "ATSL114020". Lineage: Eukaryota; Viridiplantae; Streptophyta; Magnoliopsida; Brassicales; Brassicaceae. The record is from RNAcentral.
AAGAAGGUGAUGGCUAUGGGCAAG